GACGUAGGGGACGAGCGUUGUCCGGAUUCAUUGGGCGUAAAGCGCGCGUAGGCGGUUGCGCAAGUCGGUUGUGAAAAUCCGGGGCUCAACCCCGGACCUGCAUCCGAUACUGCGUGACUAGAGGUAGGCAGGGGAGAUCGGAAUUCCUGGUGUAGCGGUGAAAUGCGCAGAUAUCAGGAGGAACACCGGUGGCGAAGGCAGGUCUCUGGGCCGAUACUGACGCUGAGGAGCGAAAGCGUGGGGAGCGAACAGG
RNAcentral lists this ribosomal RNA (253 nucleotides) under uncultured bacterium. RNAcentral's name for it is "partial 16S ribosomal RNA". It matches the Rfam family "Bacterial small subunit ribosomal RNA", at positions 524 to 776 of the family's 1533-position model. The record is from RNAcentral.